GUUUUUUGAAAAGUUGGGAAAGAUUUUUUUAAAAUGAGCCUUUAAAUUUUAUAAAUUAUCUUGAGAAUUCUAAUUUUUUUUUAAAAGGCAGUAAGAGGAAUUAAAAUGUAAAACCAGUCAAUUUUAUUAUAUGCCUUAAUAAAACCUGGUAAUUCUGAUAAUAUUCAUUUUGUAGACAAUCAACUGGUAGAUUCAUGAUCCUGGUCUUAACUCGGUAGAAGAGAAGCUUCCUAUGCAUAGCAAGAAAAACUGUCCUGCUAAGGAUUGACAGAGCAGCUGAACAGCAAGGCAUCCUGCAUGCUCAAGAGGCAUAUACUUCCUCACUCAGUGGGGAUGUAGAUGCAGGUGACAACCUAUGUCUGCGUUUUAUAGAUGUGAACAUGACCAUAUAUCAACUCACAGGACGAAUUUAACAACUUCAUGAAUAAGUAAGUGUGGCAGUGUUUUGUAAAUUAUAAAUAGCACUGCACAAAAAGGUAAGGCAUAACCACCACUAUUAUAAAAUCAUUUGUGAUUUUCAUGUGACGCUUAUAUAAGGAAUCAUCUUAAUCUACAAAAAUAUUUCAUAUAAUUGACUAAGAUAGUCAGGCUAUGGUAUGGUCAAUAUAAUUGUGUAUUUAGUUAAGUAAAACUUCUGUAUUUUAAUUUCUCUUAUUAAGAGCUACCUGGAAAAAAAAUAGUACAUUUUAGUAAGUAUACAGGCAUAAUUGUGCUAGACAUAUUUCAGGGUGCCUGUCCACUCAUAACUUCUGCUAAGAGAAAACUACCCAGCCCCCUGGGCCAGGGAACAUUUUUGUUAACACUGACACCAUUUCUCUCUCUCCUUCUGGGUGAAUGAACUGAGUGGUAGAGUUUGGCUAAUUCAUAGCAAAUUAUGACUUGUCUAUCUCAGCUCAAAUAUGUGAUUUGGGUCCAUUGGACUUUUGUUUCAGGAAUUUGAUCUUAGGGUAGGUCUUGUCAACUAUAACAAUUUAGCAAUAGUAAAACAAGCCUGGGUGAAAAUAUCAGAGAAGUUCGAAACUGAAGUAGAAAAGAAUGACAAAUCUGUGACAUCCAAACACAGCCUUUCAUAUGCCUUUGAUAGUCCCCUUUUUAGUUAGCUAACAUCAAUCUCUAGAUCAUUUUAUUAAAAAGUUAAUCUGGUAAUAAUUACAGAAAGGAGAUGCUAUUUGUAGCACAAUAAAUAUAAAAAAUUCAUAAAUUUAUGCAGGUACUUAUUAUAAUCUUGCGUUACAACGCUUAUAACCCAAACCCAAAAAAAUCCUUCAGGCCCUAUUGGGGAGGUAAAAUAGGGUGAAUGGUACCUUUAAAAGUUAUGAAAAAUAGGUUUACAGUUAGCUAUCUCUAGAGAACAAAUAUCCAAAAUAACUAAUAAAUCAAACCACAGGAUUCAGCCUUAUCUCUGCAAUGAAAACAGCCUCUGUACUGAAACAGAUGGGUUACACAACAAAUCUCUAUAAAGAUGAACAAACAGAAAAAUACUGAAUAAGUUUUAAAGAGAUAUAUGCUUUACCUCACUAACAACUGUUUCAACCGCUGAUUGACUGGAAUUAGCUUUACCUUUUUAACUGUAAUGCCUAAACCUUGGAAAUAGUUUAUAAUUUCUGUAACUUAUAACUGCUGUCUGCUUCUUGUGAGGUUAUGGUCUGAGAAAUUGAUCAUUAAUUUUUUAUGAGUUUCACAAGCUAUACAUUAUCUAGCAUUUUAAAUGGGACCUCAAUCUUUCAGGGUUAAUACUUCUGUAAUUCAGUUUGGCUUCUUUGAAAUGGGUUUUCUUCUUGUGCCCAAAUGGGAAGAAAACCUCUGCUACCUAGUAACUUAUAGGACUCUCUCUAAUCCACAAAUCUUAACUUUUACUUAGUUAUGAAGACAGCUUUAUAGUUGUCUCUGUCCUGGAGUAGAGAAAUAAAAAUAGCAGUUCAAAGAUACCUAGGAAACUAUACUUCUAGCAAAAGUAGUUGUACUUUCUUUUAGUGUCAUGCCACCCCUUGGUUGUCCUGUCUCUACUGAACAGAUGAUUAACACUGUGACUUACAUAAAUAUUUUUCAACUUAAAAAAAUUAAAGCCAAGUUCCUUUUUCUUUUCUCAGGUUACUUCUUCAAGGGGCAUGGCUGAACCUUAAAAAAAUUUUCUGAGUCUUUUUCAAAUGGAAAGGAACAUAAAAAAACUGAUUUUAAUAUA
Miniopterus natalensis is the source of this 2182-nucleotide non-coding RNA. The record is from RefSeq and is a predicted model, not a curated record. NCBI's taxonomy places the organism in Eukaryota, Metazoa, Chordata, Mammalia, Chiroptera, Miniopteridae.